RNAcentral lists this ribosomal RNA (433 nucleotides) under uncultured bacterium. Its description in RNAcentral is "partial 16S ribosomal RNA". It matches the Rfam family "Bacterial small subunit ribosomal RNA", at positions 29 to 507 of the family's 1533-position model. The record is from RNAcentral.
AACGAACGCUGGCGGCAUGCCUAACACAUGCAAGUCGAACGAGACCUUCGGGUCUAGUGGCGCACGGGCGCGUGACGCGUGGGAACCUGCCUUUAGGUUCGGAAUAACUCAGAGAAAUUUGAGCUAAUACCGGAUGAUGUCUUCGGACCAAAGAUUUAUCGCCUUUAGAUGGGCCCGCGUUGGAUUAGCUAGUUGGUGGGGUAAAGGCCUACCAAGGCGACGAUCCAUAGCUGGUCUGAGAGGAUGAUCAGCCACACUGGGACUGAGACACGGCCCAGACUCCUACGGGAGGCAGCAGUGGGGAAUAUUGGACAAUGGGCGAAAGCCUGAUCCAGCAAUGCCGCGUGAGUGAUGAAGGCCUUAGGGUUGUAAAGCUCUUUUACCCGAGAUGAUAAUGACAGUAGCGGGAGAAUAAGCUCCGGCUAACUCCGUG